AGCAUGACGGCAGUUUUGCAUUCCUUCAGUGUGGUUUGCAGUAAUCGGGCGUUCACUUACAAACAUGGCCACACAGUCUCUAACAUUGAACAAUGGCCAUAAGAUGCCUCUUGUGGGGCUUGGCUCCUGGCAGGUUACCUCUCCCGAGGAGUGCAAGGACACUAUCCGUGCGGCACUGGACGCUGGCUACAGACACAUUGACACAGCCUACGCAUACCAUAACGAGGCUUUCAUUGGGGAGGUGCUCCAGGAAUACUUCAAGGCCGGGAAACUGAGGAGGGAGGACAUUUUUGUUACAACAAAGCUUUGGGUGACCUACCAUGAGAAAGACCGAGUUCCCCUGUGCAUCGUUGAAAGCCUUAAGAAGUUACAGUUGGACUAUGUGGACAUGUAUCUUAUCCACCUUCCUGUAGGACUGAGAGAAACAGGCAAAGGAGAACCUUUCCCACUGGAUGAAAACGACAAACCUGCAUUCCAGGAUGUUCUCCUGACGGAUACGUGGAAGGGGAUGGAACAGGUGGCUCGUAGUGGCCAAGCCAAGUCUAUUGGUGUCUCAAAUUUCAACAUGGAACAGACUGAGAGGAUAUGCAAGAUAGCUGAAAUAUUACCAGCCACAAACCAGGUUGAGUGUCAUUUGUAUCUCCAGCAAGAAAAGCUGUUUCAGUUUCUCAAGGAAAAGGGGAUAACUGUUACAGCCUACAGCCCUCUCGGUUCACCAACUCGACCAGCUCACAUGCUGAAGGAAGGAGCUCCCAGAGUUCUAGAUGACCCAGUUGCUAAGGAUCUGGCCACAAAGUAUAAAAGAUCUGUAGGACAGAUUCUCCUCCGCUAUCUUGUCCAAAGAGGCAUGAUUGUUAUCCCGAAGAGCAGCAAUCCUUCAAGAAUUCUGGAAAACGUGAAGGUUUUCGACUUCGAACUGUCUGGCGAGGAUAUGUCAAAGCUUUCAGCUCAAGACAAGAAACUGCGUUUUUUAACCUUCUUGGAAUUCAAAGGUCACUCAGAAUACCCCUUUGACGAGCCUCUCUGAAAUGGGAAAUCGCAAAACGGUUCCGAGAAGUCCUUCAUUUGGACACAAAUAUCAAUAGUCUUUUCCUAGCAGUAUAUUCAUAUAUAAUAUGAACCUUCAUAUAUUAACCUCGUUGUUUAUUUAAGUGUGUAACACAUUUUCAACUUUUUUCGGAAGUUGCGAAGUCACUCUACAAAUACAGAACAUGUACAAAGAGAUAAUUCUACUUUUACCAUAGUGGACUAUGUAAGUAUGUGCAGUACGUUGAUAACAAGAGAAACAAUCCCUUCUGAAAGCUUGUGCAUUGUGCAACUUCAAGUAUAGUUCAUUCAGUUGUUGAAAACAUUUUAGUAACUUUGAUCUUCUCGGGAUUAACUCGCACUAUGUAAACAUCCCUGAUGUGUUUUUAGCCAUUUAAAAAAUACACGCAUGUAUAAAUAUAGAGUUAGUUACGGUUUUCUAUCUAAGGCUUGAACAGAUCAUUUCUCAUGAGGGAAAAGUAAUAGAUUGGGUCCAUAGCAGAGAAACUAGGUUCAAAUUGACCGGCCUACAAAGAGGAUCGUACCUUUAAAUCUGAAGAGUGUGGGCAGGCAAUUAAGAAAUGGCAUUCUUCUUCAAUAUCAGUUAGAUUGCAAUGUUUACAUAUGCGAUUCUGUAUGU
RNAcentral lists this unclassified non-coding RNA (1666 nucleotides) under Haliotis rubra (blacklip abalone). RNAcentral's name for it is "aldo-keto reductase family 1 member B1-like, transcript variant X1". The record is from RNAcentral. Lineage: Eukaryota; Metazoa; Mollusca; Gastropoda; Lepetellida; Haliotidae.